This 691-nucleotide ribosomal RNA is filed under the name Bacillus subtilis. RNAcentral's name for it is "bacterial SSU rRNA". It matches the Rfam family "Bacterial small subunit ribosomal RNA", at positions 555 to 1247 of the family's 1533-position model. Lineage: Bacteria; Bacillati; Bacillota; Bacilli; Caryophanales; Bacillaceae. The record is from RNAcentral.
UGGGCGUAAGGGCUCGCAGGCGGUUUCUUAAGUCUGAUGUGAAAGCCCCCGGCUCAACCGGGGAGGGUCAUUGGAAACUGGGGAACUUGAGUGCCUAAGAGGAGAGUGGAAUUCCACGUGUAGCGGUGAAAUGCGUAGAGAUGUGGAGGAACACCAGUGGCGAAGGCGACUCUCUGGUCUGUAACUGACGCUGAGGAGCGAAAGCGUGGGGAGCGAACAGGAUUAGAUACCCUGGUAGUCCACGCCGUAAACGAUGAGUGCUAAGUGUUAGGGGGUUUCCGCCCCUUAGUGCUGCAGCUAACGCAUUAAGCACUCCGCCUGGGGAGUACGGUCGCAAGACUGAAACUCAAAGGAAUUGACGGGGGCCCGCACAAGCGGUGGAGCAUGUGGUUUAAUUCGAAGCAACGCGAAGAACCUUACCAGGUCUUGACAUCCUCUGACAAUCCUAGAGAUAGGACGUCCCCUUCGGGGGCAGAGUGACAGGUGGUGCAUGGUUGUCGUCAGCUCGUGUCGUGAGAUGUUGGGUUAAGUCCCGCAACGAGCGCAACCCUUGAUCUUAGUUGCCAGCAUUCAGUUGGGCACUCUAAGGUGACUGCCGGUGACAAACCGGAGGAAGGUGGGGAUGACGUCAAAUCAUCAUGCCCCUUAUGACCUGGGCUACACACGUGCUACAAUGGACAGAACAAAGGGC